RNAcentral lists this ribosomal RNA (460 nucleotides) under uncultured bacterium. RNAcentral's name for it is "partial 16S ribosomal RNA". It matches the Rfam family "Bacterial small subunit ribosomal RNA", at positions 338 to 795 of the family's 1533-position model. The record is from RNAcentral.
CCUACGGGAGGCAGCAGUGAGGAAUAUUGGUCAAUGGACGAGAGUCUGAACCAGCCAAGUAGCGUGAAGGAUGACUGCCCUAUGGGUUGUAAACUUCUUUUAUAUGGGAAUAAAAUGUUCCACGUGUGGGAUUUUGUAUGUACCAUAUGAAUAAGGAUAGGCUAACUCCGUGCCAGCAGCCGCGGUAAUACGGAGGAUCCGAGCGUUAUCCGGAUUGAUUGGGUUUAAAGGGAGCGUAGGUGGAUUGUUAAGUCUGUUGUGAAAGUUUGCGGCUCAACCGGAAAAUUGCAGUUGAAACUGGCAGUCUUGAGUACAGUAGAGGUGAGCGGAAUUCGUGGUGUAGCGGUGAAAUGCUUAGAUAUCACGAAGAACUCCGAUGGCGAAGGCAGCUCACUGGACUACAACUGACACUGAGGCUCGAAAGUGUGGGUAUCAAACAGGAUUAGAUACCCGAGUAGUC